This 383-nucleotide ribosomal RNA is filed under the name uncultured bacterium. RNAcentral describes it as "bacterial SSU rRNA". It matches the Rfam family "Bacterial small subunit ribosomal RNA", at positions 29 to 416 of the family's 1533-position model. The record is from RNAcentral.
AGCGAACGUUUGCGGCGGGCCUAACACAUGCAAGUCGAACGGGCUAGCAAUAGUCAGUGGCGCACGGGUGCGUAACACGUGGGUAAUCAACCCUUCAGCCUGGGAUAACGAUCUGAAAGGAUCGCUAAUACCGGAUGCGAUGCGAGGAACCUCGGUUUUUCGCAGGAAAGCUUCGCAAGGGGCACUGAAGGACGAGCCUGCGGCCCAUCAGCUAGUUGGUGAGGUAAAAGCUCACCAAGGCGAAGACGGGUAGCUGGUCUGAGAGGAUGAUCAGCCACACUGGAACUGAGACACGGUCCAGACUCCUACGGGAGGCAGCAGUGGGGAAUAUUGCGCAAUGGGCGAAAGCCUGACGCAGCCACGCCGCGUGAGCGAUGAAGGCC